Podarcis lilfordi (Lilford's wall lizard) is the source of this 73-nucleotide non-coding RNA. The record is from the annotation of a GenBank genome assembly. Lineage: Eukaryota; Metazoa; Chordata; Lepidosauria; Squamata; Lacertidae.
ACCUAGAUAGCUCAGUCAGUAGCGCAUGAGACUCUUAAUCUCAGAGUCAUGGGUUCAAGCCCCAUGUUGGGCA